Eriocheir sinensis (Chinese mitten crab) is the source of this 399-nucleotide long non-coding RNA. RefSeq lists it as uncharacterized. The transcript is spliced from 3 exons. NCBI's taxonomy places the organism in Eukaryota, Metazoa, Arthropoda, Malacostraca, Decapoda, Varunidae. The record is from RefSeq and is a predicted model, not a curated record.
GUUUUGCCGCGGCGAGGUGCACGUGUGGGCGGCGUUCAAAAAGAUUUACGUUUAUUUCACGUUCCUGACCUCGCCCGCCUUUAAAAGGCGGGCGUGACAUCGGAGUUACCACAGUGUGCCUUCCCCAGGUCCUCGUUGCUCCAGGGCGUAGCUCCGUUACCCUGGGGGGCCUAUGGGGGUGCGGGGUACAGGCACCCAUCGCUCCGGGACACCUUGCCUCAGUGCUCAUCUCUGUCAAAUUAAAGACUCAAGAGCUGUGUGAAGAAGCUGAGCAGCGUCUCCCUGGCCUGGGCGUGGAGUGAGCUGGUCCCCUCAUCACCAGCACCAUAGACCAGGGGAUGAGGUGCUCCUGGGCGGACCAGAGGAUGUCCACUGUGCUGGUGAGUGGCCUGACCCUUG